CCUACGGGAGGCAGCAGUAGGGAAUAUUGCUCAAUGCUGGAAACCCUGAAGCAGCAACGCCGCGUGGAUGACGAAGGUCUUCGGAUCGUAAACUCCUUUUGUCAGAGAAGAUAAUGACGGUAUCUAACGAAUAAGCACCGGCUAACUCCGUGCUAGCCGCCGCGGUAAUACGGAGGGCGCAAGCGUUACUCGGAAUCACUGGGCGUAAAGAGCGCGUAGGCGGGGUAGCAAGUCAGAAGUGAAAUCCUAGGGCUUAACCAUAGGACUGCAUGUGAAACUGUUAUUCUAGAGUAUGGGAGAGGUAGGUGGAAUUCUUGGUGUAGGGGUAAAAUCCGUAGAGAUCAAGAGGAAUACUCAUUGCGAAGGCGACCAGCUAGAACAUAACUGACGCUGAUGCGCGAAAGCGUGGGGAGCAAACAGGAUUAGAUACCCUGGUAGUC
Molecule: ribosomal RNA, 440 nt
Filed under: uncultured bacterium
Lineage: Bacteria
Description: partial 16S ribosomal RNA
Rfam family: Bacterial small subunit ribosomal RNA
Source: RNAcentral